UCCCACGGUGGUCUUAGGGGUCCUGUACACCAUGGCAUGGACUGUAAUCCUCAUGCUUUUCUAUUAUUGCGCAGGUUCUCUCUCCCAGCCUGUGGUGACUCAACCUCCCUCCCUCUCUGCAUCUUUGGGAUCAACAGCUAGACUCACAUGCACCCUGAGCAGUGGCUUAAGUGUUGGUAGUUAUAGGAUUUUCUGGUACCAGCAGAACACAGGAAGCUCCCCCAGGUAUCUCCUGAACUACUACUCUGACUCAAAUAAGCACCAGGGCUCUGGAGUCCCCAGCCGCUUCUCUGGAUCCAAAGACACCUCAGCAAAUGCAGGACUUCUGCUCAUCUCUGGGCUCCAACCUGAGGAUGAGGCUGACUAUUACUGCAGCACAUGGCAUAGCAGCAAUAAUUACACAGUGUUUCAGACCCACAGGGAAGUGAGACUAAAACGUCCUCUGUGUCUGUUCUUUGGGCAAUUACCGUGCUCUACUGCAACCAAGACUAAUAGGUGA
Molecule: non-coding RNA, 499 nt
Organism: Erinaceus europaeus (western European hedgehog)
Lineage: Eukaryota; Metazoa; Chordata; Mammalia; Eulipotyphla; Erinaceidae
Source: the annotation of a RefSeq genome assembly